This 274-nucleotide ribosomal RNA is filed under the name uncultured bacterium. RNAcentral's name for it is "partial 16S ribosomal RNA". It matches the Rfam family "Bacterial small subunit ribosomal RNA", at positions 523 to 796 of the family's 1533-position model. The record is from RNAcentral.
AUACGGAGGGUGCGAGCGUUAAUCGGAAUUACUGGGCGUAAAGCGCGCGUAGGCGGCUAAGUAAGUCGGAUGUGAAAGCCCUGGGCUCAACCUGGGAAUUGCAUUCGAUACUGCUUGGCUAGAGUAUGGUAGAGGGUAGUGGAAUUCCUGGUGUAGCGGUGAAAUGCGUAGAUAUCAGGAGGAACAUCAGUGGCGAAGGCGGCUACCUGGACCAAUACUGACGCUGAGGUGCGAAAGCGUGGGGAGCAAACAGGAUUAGAAACCCGAGUAGUCC